This 669-nucleotide long non-coding RNA is filed under the name Homo sapiens (human). RNAcentral's name for it is "HSALNT0298424". The record is from RNAcentral. Lineage: Eukaryota; Metazoa; Chordata; Mammalia; Primates; Hominidae.
UCACUUUUUUCUUCAAAAAAGGCAGUUGUUACAUUUUUCCAUAUAAGAUGAGAGGGAAGAACAAUAAAACAAAUUCAAAAGAAGGCUCUAAAAGCAGGGGAAAAACCUCUCUGUUCUUAUUUAGGGUACUCAAGCUGUAAUUUGUCUUAAAAGCAGCUAGUUUAAAAAAAAAAAAAAAAACCAACACAUGCUAGAAAACCCCACACACAGAAAAAAGCAGCGUCCAGCUUUUUAAAAUUCUGCCUCUACACCUCCUUUCUCAAUGACAUCAGCUGGAGGCUCCCCACCUGCCCAGUUGCCAUAGCAGUUACACAAAGACAUACAAUGACAUCAGUUGGCAUGAUAUCAGCUCUUUGAGUGCAAACAAUACAAGAAGAACUACUUUGUUUAAGGCCUUUGGUGCAACUGUGUUCUGGGGAGCCAAUGAUGUAAUGCUAACAGGAACAGAUGGAUGCUAUGAUAUACUCCAUGGAAACAGAACAUCAGAGCCACUCAAGAUUCUAUAAGCACAAGAAUCUGUGGAAGAACAAAGCCUGGAUGAACUGGAGCUGAUGUCAGGCUGCCAAGGCUGAAAUCUUCUUCAAAGACAGGAGAGCAGCCUGUAAAGUUGAGCUGCAGACACAGACAAGCAAACUGAGAGCUCGCACGUGUGGAUGCCAGCAGGAAAGA